UUACGCUUCCAUCCUCCAUAACCACUUCCUGAGAAAGGAGUGGGGACUAAACAUGCACCAAGAACAUCAGAAGAAUGCACAAAUAAUGGAUUGGAAGGGUCAAUAGGAUCAGAGUUAGCACCAGAACCACCAGCAUUCAUGUUAGCAGCCAUGCUCAACAAACGAAUCAAAUCUUUUGGAAAAAAUAUCACCAAACAAUAUUCACAGUCUACACAGUCAAUAUUCUCAAGU
This 231-nucleotide long non-coding RNA is filed under the name Nicotiana benthamiana. RNAcentral's name for it is "long non-coding RNA (NBEN_LNC000888)". The record is from RNAcentral. Lineage: Eukaryota; Viridiplantae; Streptophyta; Magnoliopsida; Solanales; Solanaceae.